CGGGACGUAGCGCAGCUUGGUAGCGCGCUUGCUUCGGGAGCAAGAGGCCGUGGGUUCAAAUCCCAUCGUCCCGACCA
Molecule: transfer RNA, 77 nt
Filed under: Bacillota bacterium
Lineage: Bacteria; Bacillati; Bacillota
Also listed under: 1 other name
Description: tRNA-Pro
Rfam family: tRNA
About the family: Transfer RNA (tRNA) molecules are approximately 80 nucleotides in length. Their secondary structure includes four short double-helical elements and three loops (D, anti-codon, and T loops).
Source: RNAcentral